GCACCGGCUAAUACGUGCCAGCAGCCGCGGUAAUACGUAUGGUGCAAGCGUUAUCCGGAUUUACUGGGUGUAAAGGGAGUGUAGACGGUUGUGUAAGUCUGAUGUGAAAACCCGGGGCUCAACCCCGGGACUGCAUUGGAAACUAUGCGACUAGAGUAUCGGAGAGGUAAGCGGAAUUCCUAGUGUAGCGGUGAAAUGCGUAGAUAUUAGGAGGAACACCAGUGGCGAAGGCGGCUUACUGGACGAUCACUGACGUUGAGGCUCGAAAGCGUGGGGAGCAAACAGGAUUAGAUACCCUGGUAGUCCACGCCGUAAACGAUGACUACUAGGUGUCGGGUAGCAAAGCUAUUCGGUGCCGCAGCAAACGCAAUAAGUAGUCCACCUGGGGAGUACGUUCGCA
Molecule: ribosomal RNA, 400 nt
Filed under: uncultured bacterium
Lineage: Bacteria
Description: bacterial SSU rRNA
Rfam family: Bacterial small subunit ribosomal RNA
Source: RNAcentral